This 376-nucleotide small RNA is filed under the name Pongo abelii (Sumatran orangutan). Its description in RNAcentral is "processed transcript". Lineage: Eukaryota; Metazoa; Chordata; Mammalia; Primates; Hominidae. The record is from RNAcentral.
GCGUAAUACUUGCUCGGAGACCAUGAUGCGCUUUGGGAGGCUGCACAGGCUUUUUCGGGGAGCAGUGGAAUGGCUGUGUUCUCUCUGCUGUCCACCUGUCUUUGUGGGACAGAACUGUACCGCUCUCUUUUUGGCCAGCUCCACCCUCCCAACGAAGGCCACGGGGAUUGACAUCGCCCACCUCCGACACCCAGUGGGCGCCUUGGCUGGUGCGGCUGCUGGUCCAGAUGGAGGAAACCAGUGACUUUAUGGGGCUGAGCUAGUAGGGAAGCCCCUGGGAAGGUGCUGCGUUCCGAACCUGUGCCUAAUACAUGCAAGGGCGCUGCCCCGCCCAACACCGCCUUUAAACGCCACAAAUAAAGAGCAUUGUUACCGC